Molecule: ribosomal RNA, 492 nt
Filed under: uncultured bacterium
Lineage: Bacteria
Description: partial 16S ribosomal RNA
Rfam family: Bacterial small subunit ribosomal RNA
Source: RNAcentral
AGUGAACGCUGGCGGUAGGCCUAACACAUGCAAGUCGAACGGCAGCACAGUAAGAGCUUGCUCUUACGGGUGGCGAGUGGCGGACGGGUGAGGAAUACAUCGGAAUCUACUUUUUCGUGGGGGAUAACGUAGGGAAACUUACGCUAAUACCGCAUACGACCUACGGGUGAAAGCAGGGGAUCUUCGGACCUUGCGCGAUUGAAUGAGCCGAUGUCGGAUUAGCUAGUUGGCGGGGUAAAGGCCCACCAAGGCGACGAUCCGUAGCUGGUCUGAGAGGAUGAUCAGCCACACUGGAACUGAGACACGGUCCAGACUCCUACGGGAGGCAGCAGUGGGGAAUAUUGGACAAUGGGCGCAAGCCUGAUCCAGCCAUGCCGCGUGGGUGAAGAAGGCCUUCGGGUUGUAAAGCCCUUUUGUUGGGGAAGAAAAGCAGCAGGUUAAUACCCCGCUGUUCUGACGUUACCCAAAGAAUAAGCACCGGCUAACUUCGUG